Molecule: ribosomal RNA, 285 nt
Filed under: uncultured delta proteobacterium
Lineage: Bacteria; Deltaproteobacteria
Description: partial 16S ribosomal RNA
Rfam family: Bacterial small subunit ribosomal RNA
Source: RNAcentral
CCAGCAGCCGCGGUAAUACGUAGGGGGCGAGCGUUGCUCGGAAUUACUGGGUGUAAAGGGUUCGUAGGCGGUGUGGCAAGUCGGGAGUGAAAUCUCUGGGCUUAACUCAGAGGCUGCUUCCGAAACUGCUGUGCUAGAGUGCGGGAGAGGCGCGUGGAAUUGCAGGUGUAGCGGUGAAAUGCGUAGAUAUCUGCAGGAACACCCGUGGCGAAAGCGGCGCUCUGGACCGAGACUGACGCUGAGGCGCGACAGCGUGGGGAGCAAACAGGAUUAGAUACCCUGGUA